UCGGCUCAUCACAUCCUGGGGCUGAAGUAGGUCCCAAGGGUAUGGCUGUUCGCCAUUUAAAGUGGUACGCGAGCUGGGUUUAGAACGUCGUGAGACAGUUCGGUCCCUAUCUGCCGUGGGCGCUGGAAGACUGAGGGGGGCUGCUCCUAGUACGAGAGGACCGGAGUGGACGCAUCACUGGUGUUCGGGUUGUCAUGCCAAUGGCACUGCCCGGUAGCUAAAUGCGGAAAAGAUAAGUGCUGAAAGCAUCUAAGCACGAAACUUGCCCCGAGAUGAGUCUUCCCUGAGACUUUGAGUCUCCUGAAGGAACGUUAAAGACGAUGACGUUGAUAGGCCGGGUGUGUAAGCGCAGCGAUGCGUUGAGCUAACCGGUACUAAUGAACCGUGAGGCUUAACCUUACAACGCCGAAGCUGUU
Molecule: ribosomal RNA, 416 nt
Filed under: Salmonella enterica subsp. enterica
Lineage: Bacteria; Pseudomonadati; Pseudomonadota; Gammaproteobacteria; Enterobacterales; Enterobacteriaceae
Description: bacterial LSU rRNA
Rfam family: Bacterial large subunit ribosomal RNA
Source: RNAcentral